AAAAAGAUAAGCUAAAUUAAGCUUAUGGGCUCAUACCCCGUCUAUGAAGACUACUUCUCUUUUUA
This 65-nucleotide transfer RNA is filed under the name Opaepele loihi. RNAcentral describes it as "tRNA-Met". RNAcentral also lists the same sequence under 5 other names. The record is from RNAcentral. Lineage: Eukaryota; Metazoa; Arthropoda; Malacostraca; Decapoda; Alvinocarididae.